GGCGAGUUACGAUCCCGUGCGAGGUUAAGCUGAAGAGGCGGAGCCGCAGCGAAAGCGAGUCUGAAUAGGGCGUUUAGUACGUGGUCGUAGACCCGAAACCAGGUGAUCUACCCAUGUCCAGGGUGAAGUUCAGGUAACACUGAAUGGAGGCCCGAACCCACGCACGUUGAAAAGUGCGGGGAUGAGGUGUGGGUAGCGGAGAAAUUCCAAUCGAACCUGGAGAUAGCUGGUUCUCCCCGAAAUAGCUUUAGGGCUAGCCUUAAGUGUAAGAGUCUUGGAGGUAGAGCACUGAUUGGACUAGGGGUCCUCAUCGGAUUACCGAAUUCAGUCAAACUCCGAAUGCCAAUGACUUAUCCUUAGGAGUCAGACUGCGAGUGAUAAGAUCCGUAGUCAAAAGGGAAACAGCCCAGACCGCCAGCUAAGGUCCCAAAGUGUGUAUUAAGUGGAAAAGGAUGUGGAGUUGCUUAGACAACUAGGAUGUUGGCUUAGAAGCAGCCACCAUUUAAAGAGUGCGUAAUAGCUCACUAGUCGAGUGACUCUGCGCCGAAAAUGUACCGGGGCUAAAUACACCACCGAAGCUGCGGAUUGAUACCAAUGGUAUCAGUGGUAGGGGAGCGUUCUAAGGACAGUGAAGUCAGACCGGAAGGACUGGUGGAGUGCUUAGAAGUGAGAAUGCCGGUAUGAGUAGCGAAAGACGGGUGAGAAUCCCGUCCACCGAAUGCCUAAGGUUUCCUGAGGAAGGCUCGUCCGCUCAGGGUUAGUCAGGACCUAAGCCGAGGCCGACAGGCGUAGGCGAUGGACAACAGGUUGAUAUUCCUGUACCACCUCUUUAUCGUUUGAGCAAUGGAGGGACGCAGAAGGAUAGAAGAAGCGUGCGAUUGGUUGUGCACGUCCAAGCAGUUAGGCUGAUAAGUAGGCAAAUCCGCUUAUCGUGAAGGCUGAGCUGUGAUGGGGAAGCUCCUUAUGGAGCGAAGUCUUUGAUUCCCCGCUGCCAAGAAAAGCUUCUAGCGAGAUAAAAGGUGCCUGUACCGCAAACCGACACAGGUAGGCGAGGAGAGAAUCCUAAGGUGUGCGAGAGAACUCUGGUUAAGGAACUCGGCAAAAUGACCCCGUAACUUCGGGAGAAGGGGUGCUUUCUUAACGGAAAGCCGCAGUGAAUAGGCCCAAGCGACUGUUUAGCAAAAACACAGCUCUCUGCGAAGCCGUAAGGCGAAGUAUAGGGGGUGACACCUGCCCGGUGCUGGAAGGUUAAGGAGAGGGGUUAGCGUAAGCGAAGCUCUGAACUGAAGCCCCAGUAAACGGCGGCCGUAACUAUAACGGUCCUAAGGUAGCGAAAUUCCUUGUCGGGUAAGUUCCGACCCGCACGAAAGGUGUAACGAUUUGGGCACUGUCUCAACCAGAGACUCGGUGAAAUUAUAGUACCUGUGAAGAUGCAGGUUACCCGCGACAGGACGGAAAGACCCCGUGGAGCUUUACUGUAGCCUGAUAUUGAAUUUUGGUACAGUUUGUACAGGAUAGGCGGGAGCCUUUGAAACCGGAGCGCUAGCUUCGGUGGAGGCGCUGGUGGGAUACCGCCCUGACUGUAUUGAAAUUCUAACCUACGGGUCUUAUCGACCCGGGAGACAGUGUCAGGUGGGCAGUUUGACUGGGGCGGUCGCCUCCUAAAGUGUAACGGAGGCGCCCAAAGGUUCCCUCAGAAUGGUUGGAAAUCAUUCGUAGAGUGCAAAGGCAUAAGGGAGCUUGACUGCGAGACCUACAAGUCGAGCAGGGACGAAAGUCGGGCUUAGUGAUCCGGUGGUUCCGCAUGGAAGGGCCAUCGCUCAACGGAUAAAAGCUACCCCGGGGAUAACAGGCUUAUCUCCCCCAAGAGUCCACAUCGACGGGGAGGUUUGGCACCUCGAUGUCGGCUCAUCGCAUCCUGGGGCUGUAGUCGGUCCCAAGGGUUGGGCUGUUCGCCCAUUAAAGCGGUACGCGAGCUGGGUUCAGAACGUCGUGAGACAGUUCGGUCCCUAUCCGUCGUGGGCGUAGGAAAUUUGAGAGGAGCUGUCCUUAGUACGAGAGGACCGGGAUGGACGCACCGCUGGUGUACCAGUUGUUCUGCCAAGGGCAUAGCUGGGUAGCUAUGUGCGGAAGGGAUAAGUGCUGAAAGCAUCUAAGCAUGAAGCCCCCCUCAAGAUGAGAUUUCCCAUAGCGUAAGCUAGUAAGAUCCCUGAAAGAUGAUCAGGUUGAUAGG
This 2233-nucleotide ribosomal RNA is filed under the name Bacillus anthracis (anthrax bacterium). RNAcentral's name for it is "partial 23S ribosomal RNA". It matches the Rfam family "Bacterial large subunit ribosomal RNA", at positions 622 to 2860 of the family's 2925-position model. Lineage: Bacteria; Bacillati; Bacillota; Bacilli; Caryophanales; Bacillaceae. The record is from RNAcentral.